Molecule: ribosomal RNA, 497 nt
Filed under: uncultured bacterium
Lineage: Bacteria
Description: partial 16S ribosomal RNA
Rfam family: Bacterial small subunit ribosomal RNA
Source: RNAcentral
GAUGAACGCUGGCGGCGUGCCUAAUACAUGCAAGUCGAGCGAACGGACGAGAAGCUUGCUUCUCUGAUGUUAGCGGCGGACGGGUGAGUAACACGUGGAUAACCUACCUAUAAGACUGGGAUAACUUCUAGAAACCGGAGCUAAUACCGGAUAAUAUUUUGAACCGCAUGGUUCAAAAGUGAAAGACUGUCUUGCUGUCACUUAUAGAUGUAUCCGCGCUGCAUUAGCUAGUUGGUAAGGUAACGGCUUACCAAGGCAACGAUGCAUAGCCGACCUGAGAGGGUGAUCGGCCACACUGGAACUGAGACACGGUCCAGACUCCUACGGGAGGCAGCAGUAGGGAAUCUUGCGCAAUGGGCGAAAGCAUGACGGAGCAACGCCGCGUGAGUGAUGAAGGUCUUCGGAUCGUAAAACUCUGUUAUUAGGGAAGAACAUAUGUGUAAGUAACUGUGCACAUCUUGACGGUACCUAAUCAGAAAGCCACGGCUAACUACGUG